Mus musculus (house mouse) is the source of this 4917-nucleotide RNA transcript. It is a transcript of the gene named WD repeat domain 11, with no coding region annotated. Lineage: Eukaryota; Metazoa; Chordata; Mammalia; Rodentia; Muridae. The transcript has 29 exons. The record is from RefSeq and is marked validated.
GCAAACUGGGAGUUUUAUUGUUUUGUUUUCACGAUUUCCAGCAAUCUUUCUCCCAAAAGGAAGAAAGCAGAUGCGACUGGUAGCAGAACCCCUCUUCCAUGCUUAGCUCCAACCCACACUCCAUGGGAUUCACUUGAGUUUCGGAACUUUGGAGAGGGAGGAACCUAGAAGUCCUAGUUCCUGGAGAGACGACGGACUAUUGGAAGGAGGAACCUGGGAUUUCACGGAACCCAACUGCUGGCGCGGACGCGACUACCCGGACUUUGGAACGGAAGAGCUGCUCGUGUCGCUUCCUGCCUGCCGGUGGGGAGGGCCGGGGUGCCGCCGCGAUGUUACCCUACACCGUAAACUUCAAGGUGUCAGCGCGCACCCUCACCGGGGCUCUCAACGCGCACAACAAGGCGGCGGUGGACUGGGGCUGGCAAGGUUUAAUUGCAUAUGGAUGCCAUUCACUGGUGGUAGUGAUCGAUUCCAAUACUGCCCAAACUCUACAAGUUCUAGAAAAACAUAAAGCUGAUAUUGUUAAGGUCAGGUGGGCCAGGGAGAACUAUCACCAUAACAUCGGCUCUCCAUACUGCCUGCGCUUGGCUUCUGCGGAUGUCACUGGGAAGAUCAUUGUCUGGGAUGUAGCAGCCGGAGUAGCCCAGUGUGAGAUCCAAGAGCACGUGAAGCCCAUCCAAGAUGUGCAGUGGCUGUGGAAUCAGGACGCUUCCCGAGACUUGCUGCUCGCUAUCCACCCGCCUAAUUACAUCGUGCUGUGGAAUGCAGACACAGGCACCAAGCUGUGGAAGAAGAGCUACGCAGAUAACAUCCUUUCUUUUUCUUUUGACCCUUUUGAUCCUUCACAUUUAACUUUACUCACCAGCGAGGGCAUCGUUUUCAUCUCAGACUUCUCUCCAUCCAAGCCUCCCUCCGGCCCUGGGAAGAAAGUGUACAUCUCCAGCCCACACUCCAGCCCAGCUCAUAACAAGCUGGCCGCAGCCACGGGAGCCAAGAAGGCUCUUAAUAAAGUAAAGAUUUUAAUCACUCAGGAGAAACCGAGUGCUGAUUUUGUAGCUCUCAAUGACUGCCUCCAGUUAGCCUAUCUGCCUUCAAAAAGGAAUCACAUGCUGUUGCUCUACCCUCGGGAGAUUUUAAUCCUUGACCUGGAAGUGAAUCAAACAGUUGGUGUGAUUGCAAUCGAGAGAACAGGCGUUCCCUUUCUGCAGGUAAUACCAUGCUCUCAGCGAGAUGGCUUGUUUUGCCUACAUGAAAAUGGCUGCAUAACCUUACGUGUCCGGAGGUCUUAUAACAGCAUCUGUACUACAUCAAAUGAUGAACCAGAUCUAGAUCCUGUCCAGGAGCUUACCUAUGACUUGAGAAGCCAGUGUGAUGCAAUCAGGGUGACGAAAACUGUCCGUCCCUUCAGUAUGGUGUGCUGUCCUGUUAAUGAGAAUGCAGCUGCCCUCAUAGUAAGCGACGGCAGAGUCAUGAUAUGGGAACUCAAGUCUGCUGUGUGCAGUCGAAAUGCACGGAACAGUUCCGGUGUGUCUCCUUUAUACUCGCCAGUGUCCUUCUGUGGGAUUCCUGGAGGAGUGCUACAGAAUAAACUCCCAGACCUUUCCCUAGAUAAUAUGAUCGGGCAGAGUGCAAUUGCUGGGGAAGAACACCCCAAAGGCUCCAUUCUGCAGGAAGUGCACCUCAAGUUCCUGCUGACGGGACUGCUCUCAGGACUCCCUUCCCCUCAGUUUGCCAUCCGAAUGUGCCCACCACUGACCACAAAAAACAUUAAGAUGUACCAGCCACUCCUUGCUGUUGGUACGAGUAACGGUUCUGUCCUGGUGUACCACCUCACCAGUGGCCUGCUGCACAAGGAGCUCAGUGUCCACUCGUGUGAAGUCAAGGGUAUUGAAUGGACAAGCUUGACCAGUUUCCUUUCUUUUGCUGCUUCGACCCCAAACAACAUGGGGUUAGUAAGAAAUGAACUUCAGCUGGUUGAUCUCCCAACAGGGAGGAGCACUGCUUUCCGUGGUGACCGGGGCAAUGACGAAUCACCCAUUGAAAUGAUCAAAGUGUCUCAUCUGAAACAGUAUUUGGCAGUUGUUUUCAAAGAUAAGCCCCUGGAAUUAUGGGAUAUUAGAACUUGCACUCUUCUUAGAGAAAUGUCUAAAAGUUUCCCUGCUAUAACUGCAUUGGAGUGGUCACCAUCUCACAACCUGAAGAGCCUGAGAAAGAAGCAGCUUGCCACCCGGGAGGCCAUGGCCCGCCAGACUGUGGUCUCCGAUGCAGAGCUGGGUGCUGUUGAAUCAUCUGUGAUCAGUUUAUUACAGGAGGCAGAGAGUAAGGCUGAACUCAGUCAGAACAUCUCUGCUCGGGAGCAUUUUGUGUUUACUGACAAUGAUGGCCAAGUUUAUCAUCUCACUGUUGAAGGAAAUUCUGUGAAAGACAGUGCUCGGAUUCCACCAGAUGGUAGCAUGGGCAGUAUUACCUGCAUCGCUUGGAAGGGGGAUACAUUAGUGCUUGGAGAUAUGGAUGGAAAUUUAAACUUCUGGGAUUUGAAAGCCAGAGUAUCCAGAGGAAUACCCACACAUAGAAGUUGGGUGAGGAAGAUUCGCUUUGCCCCCGGCAAGGGAAACCAGAAGCUAAUAGCAAUGUAUAAUGAUGGUGCUGAAGUGUGGGAUACUAAAGAGGUUCAGAUGGUGAGCAGUUUAAGAAGUGGAAGAAAUGUAACCUUCCGGAUUUUGGAUGUGGACUGGUGCACAUCAGAUAAGGUGAUCUUGGCAUCUGAUGACGGCUGCAUCAGAGUCCUGGAGAUGUCAAUGAAGUCUACGUGUUUCAGAAUGGAUGAGCAGGAGUUAGUAGAGCCUGUGUGGUGCCCGUACCUCCUUGUUCCGAGGGCUGCCCUUGCUUUGAAAGCCUUCCUACUGCAUCAGCCUUGGAAUGGGCGAUAUUCGUUGGACAUUUCUCACAUUGAUUAUCCAGAAAAUGAAGAAAUAAAGACUCUCCUUCAAGAACAGUUGCAUGCAUUGUCUAACGACAUAAAGAAACUCCUGCUUGAUCCCGACUUCUCUCUCUUGCAGAGGUGCCUGCUCGUGUCCAGGCUGUACGGCGAUGAAUCGGAGCUGCACUUCUGGACAGUGGCGGCCCACUACCUGCACAGCUUGUCCCAGGCCAAGUCUGGGGACACAGUGGUAACCAAGGAAGGUGCUCCUAAGGACAGGCUGAGCAACCCAUUGGACAUCUGCUACGAUGUGCUCUGUGAGAACACCUACUUCCAGAAAUUUCAGCUAGAAAGAGUUAAUCUACAGGAAGUAAAACGGUCAACUUAUGAUCACACGAGAAAGUGCACAGACCAGCUCCUGCUGCUAGGCCAGACAGACAGAGCUGUGCAGCUGCUGUUGGAAACAAGUGCAGAUAACCAGCACUACUACUGCGACUCUCUGAAAGCUUGCUUGGUCACCACUGUCACCUCUUCAGGCCCUUCUCAGAGCACAAUUAAGCUGGUAGCAACCAAUAUGAUCGCCAAUGGCAAGCUGGCAGAGGGUGUUCAGUUACUCUGCUUGAUAGACAAGGCUGCGGACGCCUGUCGCUACCUGCAGACGUAUGGCGAGUGGAAUCGGGCGGCAUGGCUUGCAAAGGGUGCUCUAGCAUGGACCUCUCUCUCAGGUUCGGUUAAAUUCUGAAGAAUGUGCAGAUGUUCUGAAGCGGUGGGUUGACCACCUUUGUUCUCCACAAGUCAACCAGAAGUCCAAGGCCCUCCUGGUCCUCCUCUCUCUGGGUUGCUUUGUCAGCGUGGCAGAGACGCUUCACAGCAUGAGAUACUUCGAUAGAGCUGCCUUGUUUGUGGAAGCCUGUCUCAAGUACGGUGCAUUUGAAGUCAGUGAGGACACAGAUAUCCUUUGAAGGACGUGUGUGCUGUGGGGGAAGGAAAGGUCCCCAGCAGCGUGUGGCUCCAGAGCCUGAGGAGCCACGCACCCCCAACCCCUUGUGCUCUUCAGUUCCUUAACUGGGGUUUACAGAAGCUCAUUGCUGCCAUCUACGCAGACUAUGCCCGGAGCCUGAAGAGCCUCGGCUUUAGACAGGGAGCAGUGCGUUUUGCUUCAAAAGCUGGAGCGGCUGGCAGAGAUUUGUUGAAUGAGCUUGGGUCCACCAAGGAAGAGCUAACGGAAAGUUGACAGGCUCCGCGCAGGAAUCUGAUGUCGGAAGCGAGGGGUGAGGAGAGCUGACCUGGCUGUGCUCCUGGUCACAGCUAUGGUCAGUCCAGACCUGCGUGAGGGCUUGGCCCUUGUUAGCUGUGACACCACCUUCUUAAGUUCGAAGGUGCUCAGCAGCAUAGGCCCAUACACUAGGAGCCAGUUCUGUGUCCCAGGUGACCUCAAAAUGGGGACACAUAGUGGGAAAGUAUAUGGUAUUUAUACUUUGGAAAGUGCUUUUAAGAUCUCUGUGAAUACUUUUCAAUUUUUGUAACUUAAAAAUUCAAAAAACUGAAUUACUGUCCUUUCUCAUUAGCUAUUUUGAAGAUGUUUAAGAAAUCUGUGGCAAGAGAUGGGGCUUCUGAUGGAUUUUCAGAUAUGUGCUGUGUGUGCCUGUGUUGAUAAGCAGUCAUUUAGGACACAGCAGGGCAGAAGCAUUUGACCAACCACAGCACCUCUUUUCUUGAGGACGUGGUGGAUUCUUUGCUUUAGACAUUGCUGAACUUUGUAUUUGGGGCUCAUAGUCUUCAUGGAGCACGUCUAAGCUUAAUGUUUAGCGUCCGUGGUCUCUGAUGGUCUGAAUUUUAACUCCCAGGAUAUGUUCCAGAAACCUCAUUUCUGAAGCCUCUUUGUACAUUUCCCACCUUUGUUUUCUUCCACUAGAUGUAAUUAUUAUAAAUUAUUACUCAGAACUUAAACAUCUGUGACUAUAAAAAUGAUAAAUAAAGGAAAAUCCCAGCCAAGA